CCGCCACCGGCACGGCAUCCACCUCCGCCUCCUCCUCCUCCGCGGCCACGGCCUCCACCUCCUCGGGACCCCGCCACACCACCCCUUCAACAGCAACAACGACAAACACCGCCUCGGCCUCCUCCACAUCCUCGAGGUCCAGCCGCUCCAGCCUCGCCGCAGCGCGCGCCUCCCUCCCGGACCAGCCCGUCCUCUACUCCUUCCAGGAGCUCACCGCCGCCACCAACAACUUCCUCGCCAAGCGGGGCUCCUCCGACACCUUCUGGCGCUGCUCCCUCCGCUCCCGCCCCGCCGCGCUCUUCCAGCUCCGACCGCUCCCGCUCCUCACGCCCGCGGCCACCUCUGCCGCGCUUGCCCGUGUUGCGCUCUACCACCACGCCAGCCUCGCGCGCCUCCUCCCCGCCGGAUCCGCUACGGCCGCAAGUUAGGCCAAGAAACAGGGAGUGAAUCAAGCAACUGAAUCCUUCAAUGUGAAUCAAGCUGUGACAGCAAGUCAAUUUGCAACUCCUCGUCCUACACCAGGCUACUCCUAUAACAAGCUACAACAAGUACAUCUAAAGCAAGCUCUGGAGUAACUGGAU
Long non-coding RNA from Aegilops tauschii subsp. strangulata, 581 nucleotides. RefSeq lists it as uncharacterized. NCBI's taxonomy places the organism in Eukaryota, Viridiplantae, Streptophyta, Magnoliopsida, Poales, Poaceae. The record is from RefSeq and is a predicted model, not a curated record.